RNAcentral lists this ribosomal RNA (433 nucleotides) under uncultured bacterium. Its description in RNAcentral is "partial 16S ribosomal RNA". It matches the Rfam family "Bacterial small subunit ribosomal RNA", at positions 29 to 507 of the family's 1533-position model. The record is from RNAcentral.
AACGAACGCUGGCGGCAUGCCUAACACAUGCCAGUCGAACGAGACCUUCGGGUCUAGUGGCGCACGGGUGCGUAACGCGUGGGAACCUGCCCUUAGGUUCGGAAUAACUCCCCGAAAGGGGUGCUAAUACCGGAUAAUGUCUUCGGACCAAAGAUUUAUCGCCUUUGGAUGGGCCCGCGUUGGAUGAGCUAGUUGGUAGGGUAAAAGCCUACCAAGGCGACGAUCCAUAGCUGGUCUGAGAGGAUGAUCAGCCACACUGGGACUGAGACACGGCCCAGACUCCUACGGGAGGCAGCAGUGGGGAAUAUUGGACAAUGGGCGAAAGCCUGAUCCAGCAAUGCCGCGUGAGUGAUGAAGGCCUUAGGGUUGUAAAGCUCUUUUACCCGGGAUGAUAAUGACAGUACCGGGAGAAUAAGCUCCGGCUAACUCCGUG